This 443-nucleotide ribosomal RNA is filed under the name uncultured bacterium. RNAcentral's name for it is "bacterial SSU rRNA". It matches the Rfam family "Bacterial small subunit ribosomal RNA", at positions 28 to 492 of the family's 1533-position model. The record is from RNAcentral.
GACGAACGCUGGCGGCGUGCCUAACACAUGCAAGUCGAACGGAGCAGAGACUUCGGUUUUUGCUUAGUGGCGAACGGGUGAGUAACGCGUGAGAAACCUGCCUUUCAGUGGGGGACAACAGUUGGAAACGACUGCUAAUACCGCAUAAUGUAUCGGAACCGCAUGGUAGAGUGAGAAAAGAUUUUAUCGCUUUAAGAUGAGCUCGCGUCUGAUUAGCUAGUUGGUGGGGUAACGGCCUACCAAGGCAACGAUCAGUAGCCGGACUGAGAGGUUGAUCGGCCACAUUGGGACUGAGACACGGCCCAGACUCCUACGGGAGGCAGCAGUGGGGAAUAUUGCACAAUGGAGGAAACUCUGAUGCAGCGACGCCGCGUGAGGGAAGAAGGUAUUCGUAUUGUAAACUCUGUCUUGGGGACGAUAAUGAGGUACCCGAGGAGGAAGCA